GUUAGUGUGGCAGAGCUUGGAUAGUGCAAAAGGUCUAAGCCCUUUCUACAGAGGUUCAAUUCCUCUCUCUAACU
RNAcentral lists this transfer RNA (74 nucleotides) under Trachyrincus murrayi (roughnose grenadier). Its description in RNAcentral is "tRNA-Leu(UUR)". It matches the Rfam family "tRNA". Rfam says of the family: Transfer RNA (tRNA) molecules are approximately 80 nucleotides in length. The record is from RNAcentral. Lineage: Eukaryota; Metazoa; Chordata; Actinopteri; Gadiformes; Macrouridae.